RNAcentral lists this non-coding RNA (27 nucleotides) under Cricetulus griseus (Chinese hamster). The record is from RNAcentral. Lineage: Eukaryota; Metazoa; Chordata; Mammalia; Rodentia; Cricetidae.
UAUUAUGUAUACAAUGAUCUGUCUGCA